ACGUUAUUCGGAAUCACUGGGCUUAAAGCGCGUGUAGGCGGGUCGGAACGUCGGUCGCUGAAAUCCCCCGGCUUAACCGGGGAACGGGCGCCGAAACGACCGGCCUGGAGGAACGUAGGGGGAGCUGGAACUUCCGGUGGAGCGGUGAAAUGCGUUGAGAUCGGAAGGAACGCCCGUGGCGAAAGCGAGCUCCUGGACGUUUUCUGACGCUGAGACGCGAAAGCCA
This 226-nucleotide ribosomal RNA is filed under the name uncultured bacterium. RNAcentral describes it as "partial 16S ribosomal RNA". It matches the Rfam family "Bacterial small subunit ribosomal RNA", at positions 538 to 762 of the family's 1533-position model. The record is from RNAcentral.